Molecule: ribosomal RNA, 274 nt
Filed under: uncultured bacterium
Lineage: Bacteria
Description: partial 16S ribosomal RNA
Rfam family: Bacterial small subunit ribosomal RNA
Source: RNAcentral
AUACGAAGGGUGCUAGCGUUGUUCGGAAUUACUGGGCGUAAAGAGCAUGUAGGCGGAUAGAUUAGUCAGAGGUGAAAGCCCCGAGCUCAACUCGGGAACUGCCUUUGAUGCUGUUUAUCUAGAGACCGAGAGAGGUGAGUGGAAUUCUCAGUGUAGAGGUGAAAUUCGUAGAUAUUGGGAAGAACACCAGUGGCGAAGGCGGCUCACUGGCUCGGAACUGACGCUGAGAUGCGAAAGCGUGGGGAGCGAACAGGAUUAGAUACCCUAGUAGUCC